UGCUGUUACCUACUGUUCUUAGCUCAGGGGUCCGGUGUUGAGAUAAGGGCCACGCUUCAUGUAGUCACAGUCACCUUCAGACCGAGGGGCCAGUACUCUUAUGAACAGAACUGACUGGAGGUAGUCUGUUAGUCUUCAGAGUACUGGGGAAUGAAGGCUUCAUGAGCAGUCCAGACUGUGGUCCUACACCUGGUCGGGGCAGUCUGGCAUAAUGCUGAGACACAGAGAAAAUGCCUGAUGAAGGCAUUGGGAUUAGGUUAGCAGGAGAUAUGUUAAUUUACAGUUUCUGACCAAUAGCCUGGAAAAACAGGUUUUUGGGCAAACGGCUUUCUUCCACUGAUCUUUCUUGACUGGACUGUCUCACUCUUAGCUCCUCAGUACUUGUCCUUCAGUCCUUAUAUUCUCUUCUGUGUGUGGAAAGAAUCCUGUUAUGGUAUGGAUAUAGUCAUAAUCCAGGGCAUAGGAAUCAACUUUAGCCUUGUGGUACUGUUCUCUGCACCCUGUAAAUGUGUCUCCUUGAGUUCAGUAAUCAUAAAUGGUGGUUGGGUAGGGCAAUGUCUCUGACAUGGAAGAAAGGGAUUGUUUGCUCUUGCUAUUGAUUUGCAGUAAAUCUCAUUCUCAUCUUGCUGCAAAUGUAAUAUUAACAUGAAAAAGGGUCUCUUCUAUAUAUGAGACUAUCUUUAUGUACAGUUAGGCUGAGGAAGGGAAAAUCAUUGAGGCAGUUCAAUAUUUGGCUUUCAUUUCAAGAGAUGGAAGCACUGAUAUGUGCCAUUUGUAACUUCUGAACAAGUCAGAAGAAAUGGAACAGGAUGUGUCAUACAGAGGUUCCUGAUUGUUCCGGCAGGUUCACUGUGGUAAUCAGAGCUUGCACUUGCUCCCAGAGAUGAAGGUUCUUCUCAAAAUGCUGAUUUAACCUUUCACUUCUGCAUCAGAUUGCAAUCCUAUGUUGGAAGAUAGCUGGAGAGCAGAGGCUGUUCAACUCAAACGAGGACACUGUUUCCAGCUACUCCCUGGAGGUGGUCCUCCUGAACCCAGCUUGGUGGGUGACUCCUUCCCCUUCUGUCUGGGCUACAAAUAUUGGUUUGCACUAGUUGGCUCAGAGAUGGUUAUUAGUACAGCCCAGGCCUGGAAAUGUUAUUGAGUGCUAACCCUAACGAGAUCUGCUGCUGACAGGUCAGCUUGGGGAGCAGAACUUCUUUGUACAGCAGCAAAAUGUAUGUCACCAUUUGUUUCUGUUGCACUGCAGCUGUUGAAUUGCUGUUUUAUAGCAUGUAUUUUCUUUAAAAACAAACAAGAAAAACCUCCAAACACAAAAGACAUCCAGCCAGAACAGCAAGGUAAUUAUGAACCAUGUCGGUAUGAGUAUUGGCUUAAAUCCAUUACAUACACCAAACCCUGCCUAUAGUAAAGGAACAUAGGACAAUUACUGAUUUCAGAAAUUCCUGUUCACACAGGACAUGCGAAAGAUUACAAGAGGUGAACUCAAAAGAGAGAAGUAUCACAGGGAUGGGACCUAAAAUUGCAGACUUUGUAUAUGGAUAGUGGGGCUUUAUCACAGACUGGUGACAGCCAAGGGGCGGAUUCACCGUGGUUUGACAUCUAGUUUCAAUGAGAUGCUUCAGGAUAUUAAAAACGGGGCACCUAAAUAUCAUUAUAUAUCUGUACCAAGAUCCUGCUGCUGGUGGUCUGGCUGGGAUCGAGGCCACCGUUGUGGUUUGCCUUGCAGCAAGCACUCAGCAAUUUUCUUGUAGUGCGUGUGUGUGAAUAAACCACUCCAGAGGGGGCUGAAUACA
This is a long non-coding RNA of Anser brachyrhynchus (Pink-footed goose), 1793 nucleotides long. The record is from Ensembl. Lineage: Eukaryota; Metazoa; Chordata; Aves; Anseriformes; Anatidae.